This 207-nucleotide ribosomal RNA is filed under the name uncultured bacterium. RNAcentral's name for it is "partial 16S ribosomal RNA". It matches the Rfam family "Bacterial small subunit ribosomal RNA", at positions 568 to 774 of the family's 1533-position model. The record is from RNAcentral.
CGCGUAGGUGGAAUAGUAAGUCAGAGGUGAAAUCUAUAGGCUUAACUUGUAGCUUGCCUUUGAAACUGCUAUUCUUGAGUGCGGAAGAGGGAAGUGGAAUUCCUGGUGUAGCGGUGAAAUGCGUAGAUAUCAGGAAGAACACCGGUAGCGAAGGCGGCUUCCUGGUCCGCAACUGACACUGAGGCGCGAAAGUGUGGGGAGCAAACA